UUAUUAUGGAAUAUCCAGAAUAGUUGAUUGAACCUAGUCUGUAUGUGCAUCUGUCAGACCCAGUAACUGCUAACUUGAAUAAACACUGAGAUAUAUUGACUGAUGAUCAGAGGCUUAACCUAGCUUCAAACGUUCACCGUUAGCGUUAGCAAGGUGUGAACAUAGUUUAACAAACACUUGAAAUAAACAAAUAAAUUGACAGUCAUGAGCAUUAUCAGCUGUGUUUUCCUUUUUUUUUUGUGUUUUAGGAUGGAAAAUAAAUUUAUUUUUGCUAAAUAAUAAUUUUUAAAACAACCAAAAUCCUUUCUUCGUUUAAAAUGUGCUUUUAGCACCUAAUUUGAGUUCAUUGUGUGAGUCAAAUGAAACUAAUGCCGAAAUGGAGGGUAACCGACGGAAACAAAUUAGAUUAAUUGAUUUGAACUUAGAUUGCCUUCUUCGAAUUCUGAGUUAUUGUAAUGAACAGGAUUGGCUGAAUUUAUGUCGUGUGCAUCGCAUACUACGCAAUGUAAUCGAACAGAAUAUUUUCUAUGUGAAAACCUUAGAUUCGCUCAUGUGCGGACACCGAAAUUCCCCAAGGAUAUCCAAAAGGACAUACAAUUCCCUCUCCUAUGCCGCACGGCUCAGUAUUGCCCGUAAUUGGUUGCAAGGCCGUUAUAGAGAGUAUGAGUACUAUCAUCAUGCACAAAUGUUCCCCACAAAAUUGCUCUUGGAGCGUAAUUUUCUUUAUGUAACUCAUAUGGAUUAUUUACGUGUUUAUGGACGUGCUAAUAACGAACCAUUACAACGUAGAUAUAAACAGGAAAUAUCUUCCAGUAUACGUGGCGAUAUAUCGAGUUUCACUAAAAAGGGUGAUACAAUAUUCGUUGGACGUGUUACGGGUAACUGUUAUAUCUGGGAAGAUGGCUAUGCCAAUGACCAGCAAUUGCAUAGCGCUAAAGAAUAUUUACAUUGCGUAGAUUUUGAAGAUGAUUUGUAUGUAACUAGCACGAGUGUGUGUGCAAAACUGUGGCGACGCACAAAUGAAUUGGGCUUAAUUAAUUUAGAGUCAAUCGAUGAAAUGCGGCGAGAAUAUAAAGUACUAAAAUUUGCGGAUGGAGGUGAGCGGCUAUAUGGUGGUUUAUAUACGGAUACAGAUAGGCAAGCGUUACGUGAAUUUGAUGUAGAAAGCGGCAAGGAAACUAUACUUAACUCAAACACCCUAUCUAUAUAUGACUUACUUAUUAAAGAUGAGCAUGUACUAUUCACCGGCAACUUUGACACCACUUGCCGUAUGUAUGAUCGUCGUUCGAAUCGCGAUGAAGCCAUAUUCGAAGAUCCUUUUGAUUCAUCAUUUUACUGCAUUGAAUAUGAUGGUUUAUAUGCGCUAUUAUGCGGCGCUAAAUAUCAUAGUCGUGUCAAUUUAUAUGAUAUACGUAUGCCAAAUAAAUAUCAGCAAUUAUAUUUUCCACGCCGGAGUAAAAGAGCGAAAAAUCAGAGUUCUCCUGUGUAUAGCUUAGCCUGUGAUAAUCGUUAUCUCUUCAUAGCAACAGAUCAUAAUUUACGUGUAUUUGAUUUUAAAGAGAGCUAUGCAGAAUGUAAAGAUUACCGUAAUAUAUUCAGUGACAAACGUCGUAUACCAAUGCUUUAAUUGUUUCGAUUUAUGGGAUGUAUUUUGAAAUCUUAACAACAAUUGGGUAUUGGCUUAUGCAAUAUAGUUCUGCCGUUGCAGAAAAGUAUCAAGUGAUCAGUUUUGUAGCUCCUUAAAAUAAAUUCAAUUUUUAUAGACAACAUAGAAAUGCAGAACAAAAUCUUAAAUUCUAAUAAUUGAAAAGAAAAAAAAUUAUUUGUUUGGACGAGGUUAACGAGGCACUGCCCACAACCACCAAUGCAUUCCGAUGUGCAAAAACUUGACAAACAAAUCUCUUUUGAAUAUAAUUUAGCCGUGAGAGGCUUAGAGAGUCAAACAUCAAUUUACUUACAUAAAUAAAUACAUGAAGAGGCACAAAGUGAAGGCAGUUUAUUCUCGCUACUCCUAAGUUUUAAUGAUCCCAAAUUAUAUUUGAAAAACAUUAAAUGUACUUUAGGUAAUGAAAUAUAUGUAUUUAUAUGUCUAUGAAGAAUAUGCAAGCAGUAAGCUUGGCGACAUUCACUGCUAUUCAGAUUUGGUAUAUCCGCCAAAUAUCGAUAUUCGGUGACAGUAAGCCAUUUCCACGAUCAUAGAUUGUUCAAGAUACGUAUGUAAAAGAACAAUGACAAGACCAACAGAGUAGUUUUAGGUAUUUAAAAUUGCUUUUUAAUAUGUAUCAUGAAUGAACAUAACCUCAAAUUUUAUAAACAAGGCUUAGAACUCAGUAUAACAUGUAAUAGUUUACAUACAUAUAUGGUUUAUUAUAUAAUAAUUGUUAAUAAAUGCAACUCAGUUCAAUAAGUCACUGAAUU
Molecule: unclassified non-coding RNA, 2418 nt
Filed under: Ceratitis capitata (Mediterranean fruit fly)
Lineage: Eukaryota; Metazoa; Arthropoda; Insecta; Diptera; Tephritidae
Description: f-box/WD repeat-containing protein 4, transcript variant X2
Source: RNAcentral